This 460-nucleotide ribosomal RNA is filed under the name uncultured bacterium. Its description in RNAcentral is "partial 16S ribosomal RNA". It matches the Rfam family "Bacterial small subunit ribosomal RNA", at positions 338 to 795 of the family's 1533-position model. The record is from RNAcentral.
CCUACGGGUGGCAGCAGUGAGGAAUAUUGGUCAAUGGACGAGAGUCUGAACCAGCCAAGUAGCGUGAAGGAUGACUGCCCUAUGGGUUGUAAACUUCUUUUAUAAAGGAAUAAAACGCGGCACGUGUGCCUUUUUGCAUGUACUUUAUGAAUAAGGAUCGGCUAACUCCGUGCCAGCAGCCGCGGUAAUACGGAGGAUCCGAGCGUUAUCCGGAUUUAUUGGGUUUAAAGGGAGCGUAGAUGGGUUGUUAAGGCAGUCGUGAAAUGUUGCGGCUCAACCGUAAAAUUGCAAUUGAAACUGGCUGUCUUGAGUACAGUUGAGGUAGGCGGAAUUCGUGGUGUAGCGGUGAAAUGCUUAGAUAUCACGAAGAACCCCGAUUGCGAAGGCAGCUUACGAAACUGUGACUGACAUUGAUGCUCGAAAGUGUGGGUAUCAAACAGGAUUAGAUACCCUAGUAGUC